RNAcentral lists this ribosomal RNA (597 nucleotides) under Metarhizium anisopliae. Its description in RNAcentral is "eukaryotic LSU rRNA". The stretch from base 205 to 358 matches the Rfam family "5.8S ribosomal RNA". The record is from RNAcentral. Lineage: Eukaryota; Fungi; Ascomycota; Sordariomycetes; Hypocreales; Clavicipitaceae.
UCUUGGUCAAUUAGAGGAAGUAAAAGUCGUAACAAGGUCUCCGUUGGUGAACCAGCGGAGGGAUCAUUACCGAGUUAUCCAACUCCCAACCCCUGUGAAUUAUACCUUUAAUUGUUGCUUCGGCGGGACUUCGCGCCCGCCGGGGACCCAAACCUUCUGAAUUUUUUAAUAAGUAUCUUCUGAGUGGUUAAAAAAAUGAAUCAAAACUUUCAACAACGGAUCUCUUGGUUCUGGCAUCGAUGAAGAACGCAGCGAAAUGCGAUAAGUAAUGUGAAUUGCAGAAUUCAGUGAAUCAUCGAAUCUUUGAACGCACAUUGCGCCCGUCAGUAUUCUGGCGGGCAUGCCUGUUCGAGCGUCAUUACGCCCCUCAAGUCCCCUGUGGACUUGGUGUUGGGGAUCGGCGAGGCUGGUUUUCCAGCACAGCCGUCCCUUAAAUUAAUUGGCGGUCUCGCCGUGGCCCUCCUCUGCGCAGUAGUGAAACACUCGCAACAGGAGCCCGGCGCGGUCCACUGCCGUAAAACCCCCCAACUUUUUAUAGUUGACCUCGAAUCAGGUAGGACUACCCGCUGAACUUAAGCAUAUCAAUAGGCCGGAGGA